GCAGACAAGGUGGAAUGGACAAACAAGAUACGCAAUGUCAUUCAACCAUCCAAAGGAGGACAAACGAGAGGUGCAUCCUCCGAAGGUGGUCUUACCAUGCGGCAGAGUCUAUCUGAUGGUUCCCUAGAUACUAUGGCUCGAAAACCUGCUGAUCCUGAAGAAGAGCUGCGGUGGAUGUCUCAAGAAGUUCGUGGUUAUGUUGAAGCAGUUUUGAAUAGUUUGGCUGCAAAUGUCCCCAAGGCUGUUGUACUUUGUCAAGUUGAGAAGGCCAA
This 272-nucleotide unclassified non-coding RNA is filed under the name Hevea brasiliensis (rubber tree). The record is from RNAcentral. Lineage: Eukaryota; Viridiplantae; Streptophyta; Magnoliopsida; Malpighiales; Euphorbiaceae.